This 2952-nucleotide long non-coding RNA is filed under the name Homo sapiens (human). RNAcentral's name for it is "HSALNT0389687". The record is from RNAcentral. Lineage: Eukaryota; Metazoa; Chordata; Mammalia; Primates; Hominidae.
GAAACGCAGGGAACCGAGAGGGAGAGGCGGCAUGUGGACAGGCCGGGCCUCAUUUGCCUAAUGCAAUGCGGCUGAACUCUCGCUGAACUCGCCUGGCGGCGCCUCACCUCCGAGUGACCCACCCACCGCUGCCCGUGACAUCACCCGCUCGCCAGCCCGCCCGCGGGGCUCGCCCGCCAGCCCCCUGCCCGGCCGAACCGGGCCACCUCCCCCGGAGACGCGGAGAGCGGCGGCAGGAGGCGUAGGGCCGGGUCGCGCGGGGCCAAGUGUUUGGCACCCGGGUGUGACAUUGUGCAGCUCGGACGCUGUGUCGGAAUGAGACACCGGCUUGUGUCAUUGUCUGUGACAUCAUGUGUGACUCCGGCCGCCGGAACCCGACGCGGCAGCGCGGGUGCUGUUGGCACAAACACAGGCAGAGGGGGCCCUCCUCCCCACGCUCUGCGUGCUUCCGGCGAGCAAAGCCCCGCCCAAGGUGUCUCCUAGCUGGGGAACCAGUACCGGCCCCUGGUGCACUGUCCAGCUCUGGAGAGAUAAAAGGAAGAGCUGGUGCCUUCCAGUGGACUACUUCAUCCUAGAAGCCCUCGGGAUGCACGUUUCACUGGAAGAAAGGCCUAGCUUGGGUAGGUCCCUAGAAAGAGGGGAUACCCCUGGAGGAGGGGGUAUCCUAUUACCCCCACUCUCUAAAAGGAAGGAUGGAAAUGUACAUGCUACCCAAGGACAUUCUUCUAGAAGAAGCCUGGCUCUUUAUAUAUGUUGUCAUUUUAUCCUCACAGCAACUCCAAGAGAUGUUUUACAAAUAAAACAGGUCUCAGCAAGGCUAUGUGGGUUGUCCAAGAUCACAUUACUAAUAAUAAAGAGUAGAGCAGGUAUUUGAACUUCCUGCUGCCAAAGCCCAUGUUCUUACCAAGCUAGGCCAAUUCAAGGUAUUUUUCUGAGCACCUUCUAUGUGGACACCCUGGGGAACCUGCCCUUGUAGACCUUAGGGAGCAACAGCCAUUAAGCAAAUAAUCACUGUAUGCACACACAAUUGCAAACUGAGAUAAAUGCUAUUAUGCUCUGAAGAAUUAACAUAGGUACCUAAUUUAGGUUUAACUAAAUUAGGGAAGAACUCAAAUAAAACAGACCUACCAUAAGAGAAAGUUUGUAAGUUAAUCAGGCAAAGAGUAGAAAGGAGUGUAGUUCCAGUUAAAGGGCGAGUCUGUGCAAAGGCCCUGGGGUUACAGCAGUUGAUGAGUUCAUUGAAGGAACUGGCAGAAGGCUAGAAUCAUGGGGCACAAAAUUCAAAAGGAAAAGGUACACAAGACCAGGCUAGAGAGGUGGGCUCAGGCCAGACCAGGGGGGCUUAUAGGCCUCAGUAAGGCUUUUGGAUUUUAUCCUAAAUGCAAGGAAAAGCCAUAGAAAGGUUCCAAGCAAAGGAAAGAUCAGAUUUACAGUGUAAAAAGAUCUUUCCAGUAGUUGUGUGAAGAAUGGAUUAUAGGAGGGCAAGAGAGACCAGGUAAAAGCUACUGCAGCAGUCCAGGCAUCAGACAAGGGUGGCUUGGCCUAGGAAACUGGAAGUGCUGAUGGACAGAGGAAGGUGGAUUCAAUAAACAUUUUAAAGGUACAAAUAACGUGGGGGGGUGGGGGUAAGGGGUAUGGGAAAAGAGGUAGCAAAGAGACUUGUGUGUGACUUACGCAUCAGUGAAGUUCCUGAGACUGCAAAGCAGAGAAGUCCACUGGGCUGCUGGACAGGUGGAUGUGGGGCCCUGAAGUGCAGUCAGGGCUACAGAUGGAAUGCUGGGGUCUGGGGGCAGGUAUGCAAAUCUUGACAGUGGAUGAGACUAAUGGCGAAGAGGACAGAGUGCUUCCAUGCCUUCGGGAUCUUUCAAAUGAUGGAGCAAGGCUCUGCGCUCACAGCUGCAAGGCGCUAAGGGACCUGAGACUCUGUCCCUGCCAUCAAAGACCUUGUGGUCAGGAAAAGAUGUCCCAAAUGGUUACAGCUCAUGGCAGGAACAGGGGAGAAGCAACUUCUGGGUAGCGAGAUGAGUGUUGUUAAAAAAUAAAUAAGGACCCACAGGCAUUCUAAGUAGGGAGGCAGAGUGUGGCAAGCAAGGGGGAACAUCUGUGAAGAUUUCUGGGAAGAGGCGGCAUUCAAGAUGUUCCUUGAAGGAUAGAUAGGAUUUCCGGAGCUGGAGAGGAGAAGCUAGGGCAAGAGGCCCGUUCUGGGCAACAGCAAGGUCAUGGGGCAGGUCAGAGCAGAACACAGUGUCCUGGGGCAGUGGGAGAAGUGGGAAACAAGGAAGGCUCUGGCCCGCAGCUGGGGCUGGGGGGCCUCCAGCGGCAGCUGUCUGCAGGCCUGGGGCCCCAUCCUGCUCAGCCUUAUCCCUCCCUCAGCUCCUUCUCAGGGCUUUGCGUUUAGUAAGCCCUCAGCAGGUGCAGGCCAAACUGGCCCCCACUUGUGCCAGGCAGGGCCCCCUCCUGUCCCCAACCCCAUCUGGAGGGGACAACAAACAGGAAAUCAUGAGGCCCAGUGCCAGGUGGACACUGGCUCCCAGUAUAGAGUGGCACCAUCCCCCAAGACAGUACCCAGCUCUACCCUGCCCCUCACUAUCACAGCCUUGCUGGGUACGUGAAACUCACCAAGGGCCUCAGCAGGAAGCAGGCGACCGUGGCCUAACGGCAACUCGCCCAGCCAAGGAGAGAUUAGAAGUUUUGCUCUAUUUUUUUAUUUUUAUUUAUUUAUUUGAGACAGAGUCUCGUUCUGUCACCCAGGCUAGAGUGCAGUGGUGUGAUCUCAGCCCACUGCAGCCUCCACCUCCCGGAUUCAAGCAAUUCUCAUGCCUCAGCCUCCCAAGUAGCUGGGAUUACAGGUGUGCACCAGCAUGCCCAGCUAAUUUUGGUAUAUUCUGUAGAGAUGGGGUUUCGCUAUUUCGCUAUCUUGCCAAGGCUGGUCUUGAACUCCUGAGCUCAAGC